CGCGUAGGCGGCUCCUUAAGUCAGGCGUGAAAGCCCGGGGCUCAACCCCGGAAGUGCGUUUGAAACUAAGAAGCUUGAGUACGGGAGAGGGAAGUGGAAUUCCUGGUGUAGAGGUGAAAUUCGUAGAUAUCAGGAGGAACACCGGUGGCGAAGGCGACUUCCUGGACCGAUACUGACGCUGAGGCGCGAAAGCGCGGGGAGCAAACA
RNAcentral lists this ribosomal RNA (207 nucleotides) under uncultured bacterium. RNAcentral's name for it is "partial 16S ribosomal RNA". It matches the Rfam family "Bacterial small subunit ribosomal RNA", at positions 568 to 774 of the family's 1533-position model. The record is from RNAcentral.